This 524-nucleotide ribosomal RNA is filed under the name uncultured bacterium. Its description in RNAcentral is "bacterial SSU rRNA". It matches the Rfam family "Bacterial small subunit ribosomal RNA", at positions 984 to 1509 of the family's 1533-position model. The record is from RNAcentral.
ACAUCCAGCGAACUUGGCAGAGAUGCCUUGGUGCCUUCGGGAACGCUGAGACAGGUGCUGCAUGGCUGUCGUCAGCUCGUGUUGUGAAAUGUUGGGUUAAGUCCCGCAACGAGCGCAACCCUUAUCCUUGUUGCCAGCGAUUCGGUCGGGAACUCAAAGGAGACUGCCGGUGAUAAACCGGAGGAAGGUGGGGAUGACGUCAAGUCAUCAUGGCCCUUACGAGUAGGGCUACACACGUGCUACAAUGGCGCAUACAAAGAGAAGCGACCUCGCGAGAGCAAGCGGACCUCAUAAAGUGCGUCGUAGUCCGGAUCGGAGUCUGCAACUCGACUCCGUGAAGUCGGAAUCGCUAGUAAUCGUGGAUCAGAAUGCCACGGUGAAUACGUUCCCGGGCCUUGUACACACCGCCCGUCACACCAUGGGAGUGGGUUGCAAAAGAAGUAGGUAGCUUAACCUCCGGGAGGGCGCUUACCACUUUGUGAUUCAUGACUGGGGUGAAGUCGUAACAAGGUAAGCGUAGCGAG